UACGUAGGGCGCAAGCGUUGUCCGGAAUCAUUGGGCGUAAAGAGCUCGUAGGUGGUCUGUUACGUCUGCUGUGAAAACCUAGGGCUUAACCCUGGGCCUGCAGUGGAUACGGGCAGACUAGAGGUAGGUAGGGGAGAAUGGAAUUCCCGGUGUAGCGGUGAAAUGCGCAGAUAUCGGGAGGAACACCGGUGGCGAAGGCGGCUCUCUGGGCCUUUCCUGACGCUGAGACGCGAAAGCGUGGGGAGCGAACCGG
Molecule: ribosomal RNA, 253 nt
Filed under: uncultured bacterium
Lineage: Bacteria
Description: partial 16S ribosomal RNA
Rfam family: Bacterial small subunit ribosomal RNA
Source: RNAcentral